CGUCUUCCCGUCAUCGUAUUGCCGGUCCAGCUCGAAAAUAUCGCACAAUUAGCAUCAUCAUCACUUCAGUUGCGUCUUAUUGCAGAAUCCCGAAGUAAAUAUAUAAAUAAGUAAAAUGGCAUUUCUCGCCGGACUCUAUCGUCACCGGCAACUUUCAUCACUUUCAAUUCAGCCGAAUUAUUGCUACUCAUGGAGUUGGCGAUAUCUCUUCUUGUAUCCUAGUUCUACAACUAGGUGGCUCUGUAGUGGUAGCACUGAGUCGACUCGGUCAGAAUUUCCCUUCGAAAAUGCGUACAAUAUCUUAGGAGUACCGGAGACCAGCUCAUUUUCCGAAAUCAAGGCUUCGUUUCGAAAAUUAGCCAAGAAAACUCACCCGGACCUUGCUGAGUCGAAGAACCACUCAGCUGCCUCAAAACGUUUCAUUCAAAUCCUUGCAGCUUAUGAGAUACUUUCAGAUUCUGAGAAGAGGAUUCAAUAUGACCUGCAUCUUCUAUCCCAAAGGAAGCUUUUGCAAAAAAAUUGGGGACAUUGUGGACAAGGUUCAAAAUUGUACAUGUACGAAUCCCACAGGAUAUCAAUUAAGGAAAUGGAAGUUGUUGAAUGGUUAAAGUGGUAUAGAUUUGCUAUAAAUGAUAUAGUGUCAGAGAAGAAAGUUAUAGCUGGAACUGGCUACUUUGAUGUACUUCAAGCAGAUUUUUAUUCAGCUAUACAUGCAGCAUACUAUGGCCCUGUGAUUGAGUCCAUGGACCUUCUUCCUGAUCGCUUUGAAGCUGAGGAGAGGUCUGUGUAUGAAAAUCCAGAGGUGCUGCACUUGGUUUCAGGGCGUGAUCUUUUUGGAAUGGUCUGCUUGGCUAAUAAUGAUCCCAAAUUGUCUUUUGCCUGCAACCAAAAUCUGACUCCUAUAAACAUUGCUUUGGACAUGUGUUGGUCUGUCGAGAAUGCAAGCAGUUGUAUGAAUUCUAAUGUAGUAAAUGAUGUUCGAAUUUCUCCCCAACAAACCUAUAAUAUUACAAGUUAUGAAUCAGAUGCAUAUAGAGAUUUAGAAUUGCAUGUCUCCGGAAGGGUGGUUGCUGUGGCUACUCGAGUCCCUCCUAAAAGCUACCGUAAUGGGAUUCAGAAUGAAGAUGUUCAAGAUCACAUUCAUGUUUUUCUUAGUUCAGAUGAAAGUCCCUUUCACACUGGCAGAGGGUUCUCUAAGGAUUCUUUUUUGGAUGGUGCAGUUGGAUCAAGGAUUCCACUUGGAACUAUAACUGGUUUGGGGACUAGCCCAGAAGAGGGGUCAUGCUUUGUCUACAAUAGCAGUGGUACAAAAACCCAUGUGAUAAUGAAACAUAGGACAUUGCUGGUUAAGCAUAUGCACUGGUUUCAAGUAGGAGAUGAAGUUUCUGUUUGUGAGUGUAGAUGUAGUAGAGCCCGAUUACCACCUAGCAAGUUUUGGUUGUUUGAACCUCGCUGUGGUAUGCAUGAUAUAGGUGGUUGGUAUAUUGAAACAUUUGGCAGAGACAAAAAAGGCCGCACUGUCCUGUCCCAAAGAUAUUGGGAUGGUUUUGAUGUGAGCAAACAAUUUGACAAAAGGCUUCAUCCAGCAAUGUAUUUGCUUGCCCUUGCAUAUAGAACUCUAGAUCUUGAAGAUGCAAAAAGAAGGAAGUGGGCCUUCAGGGAUAUUUUUGAUGUACAAAUGUUCAGAAUUCUCAGCUGGUGUAAGAAACUUGUUUAGGAGGUAUGAAGUUGGGUAUUUUUACAAAAUGUAAAUGCUUCAGCCCUGUGGCUUUACAGAAUUUGCUUCAUUUCUAAGGUCACAAGAUUGGUUGUCAGGUUGCUUUUGUCUCCAAAUGGGUCAAGGUCAUAUUAGGUAUUUCUAUGAUAUCUGGGAGACUUUAAAUUCUCAACUAUUGCAAGGAAGUUGUUCAAAAGGUAUAUAAUGCAGGGCUUUCUAGUUCUGGCAUUGUAAAUACUUUUUUAUUCCAGUGCCUGGAAAAUUAUGAAAGCUUAAGUGAAAGCAUUAGCUAUUAAUUUAUGUGUGUGCUGUGGUCAUUUCUAAAAGCAAAUCCUUAACCUGCCAAUUUUUGUGUGUGCUCUUGUCAAUUCUAAUGCUUUGUCUGAAACUUCUAUAAUAUUUCUGAAUAACCUAUAUUGAGUCACUGUCACAAGAAACUUUAGUUUCACUGGUGGUGAUUCUGCUGAAUCUAUCAACCUGAAUCCUGGUAUGAUUAUUCCAAAAGGUGACUGAUAGAAUAUGGUGAUGAAGAUUGCCUUUUAACAUGCCAGUUUGUGUGUGUGCUCUGGUCAUUUCUAAAAGCAAAUCCUUUUGCUCACUUCUUGCAACGGUAGUUCCUGAAGUUGUUAUUCAUCAGGCAUGAAAGUGAGAGGACUAUUGUUUAUCAAAAUAUGAGCCUCCUGUCAUCCUGUUAUGAUUGUUCAGAAAGAUGAUUCAUAGGAUACAUUAAGAGAAUGAAUUUCCUCCUGUGCUACUAUAGUUCUUUCAACAAUAAGUUGUUCUCUCUAGUUGUCUAUCAAAAUUGGAAAGAAAGGUGGUUAUUUAAGUGGAGGUCAAAGAGGACAAGCCAAUCUCUGUUGAGAGUUCAUGUGGCUACAAUUCUGUUCAAAUGAAGAAUUCACAUAGUAAAAUCAUAGUAUUUUAGGUAAUUCAAAUUAUAUGAUGUGGGAUUAUAUUUGCUGGAUUCACAUGUUUGGGUUUUUUGGUAUAUCAUGUUAGUACAAGCCUCAAGCCUUACUUUGACUUACUUUCAUGGCUUCUCCAAUUGAAGGAUUUCAUACACAUGCAAGUUGUAACUUUGAUAUAUUAUUCUUUUUUUACUGAUCAAUAAAUUUAUCCUUAGUUUCUGUAUCAUUUGUUUCUUUCACAUUUUUCUUUGACUUCCCUGUUUCUUAAAUCAUUGUAAUGGUUUCCUUAAACAAAUAUCAUAGAAAGUUGAACUUUUAAGAAAUGCUUCUGUCAAUGCAAAUUACAGAUUCAUUAAUGGUAUGAAAUUAUUGUUGAUCCAUGCCUCCUCUUUAACCUUUACUUCAGCAGAUCUUCCCAUUUGCAGUUCUGUCCGCCUGCCAAUGCACGGUAAUAUCUAUCUCUACAAUAGACAGGUCUGCCAUCUGCAGCCUCAGCAGCAGCUGCUGCUGCCAAGUCAUCAUCAGAUUUGGCCUCCACUGGCAAUUGAAGCAGCCCCUCUUUUCUACAUAUAUAAAUAGAUGUUGUGGUCAAGGCUGGAUUCGAGCUCGAGCUCUACUAUAUGCAAACCGAGCCAAGCUGAGCUCAAGCUUGGCUCGGUUUGCAUAUAGUAGAGCUCGAGUUCGAGCUCGUUGAAGCUAAGCUUGAACUCAGUUCGAAUUCGGUUUGGCUCGUUUCGAGCUUGAGCUUUUAAUUAGCUCGUUAUUAAAACGACGUUGUAUUAAUACAUAUUGGUCAAAACGACGUCAUUUUGUAUUAAAAUUUUUAAUUCGCAAAUUUGAUGAGUAGCUUAAGCUCGAGCUUGUAUAGGGUUGGCUCGUUUCGAGCUUAUUCGAACCGAGCUCGAGCUCGAGCUCAAACCAACUCAGUUCGAAUCCAAUCCUAGUUGUGAUAAUGUACGUGUUGGAUGCACUUCCGAAUUGAAGGGUUGGAAUCUCUAUUUUUCUGUACAUACCUUAUGUUAGACUCUUUGUUUGAAGUCUUUUCAACUGGAUCACUGGAGGGGUAAAAAGAGGAGUUCUGAAAGGGAUGCUCCCUUGGUGUAGCAAAGUUAAAUAGCAACUCUGCCGUCACAAGUCAAGAUGCUAAAUUGUAAUUGUUGAACUGAAGAUAUCAGUCCGAGUUUAGAUACCCAAACCAAACUGUCAUUGUUUUCUAUGUAGGAGUUAUUGGCUGCCCAUUGAAUUUCUUAUGGUAGCCAAGUGAUAACUGAGCUAAGCUACAGCAGCCAGAAAGGUGAGGAAACUGAAAGGAACAAGAUUUGAAAUGAUUAGGGGUUUAUUGAUAUUUUGUUUGGACCGAGCCAUGAGCUCGUGAGCUCACUGAGCUAACCAACAGCAAACUCGAGUUCAACUCGACAAUAAUUGAGUCAAUCCUAACUCGACAUGAACUGAGCCGCAAGCAGCUCAAAAGCGGCUCCUCGCCUACACCUCUAGUCCUCAUACUUUGAGAUCUGUUGGAUAGAAUCUCCUUGCCAUAUGCAAAUGUUUGGGUUCAAAAUUACAGUGUCUCUCUAUGGAAGUCUUGACUUGCCCUCAUAAAAGCUUAAUUUCUCCACAGACUAUAUUGCCAUUGAAUCCUUCACUACAAUAUGUGAAGUCAACUCGAUAAACCUAAUUGUUGCUAUUUUACUAAUGAGCACAAUCAGUUGUUAAAUGUUUGGGUGGUAGUUUAUUCAUUUUUAGUUGUCCACCUGAAUAGAGAUUAGAGACAUAUAUUUGUGUUGCAAAAUAUAAUAUUCUUGGCAUGGUACAGCCUUUCUCUCAAAAGUGCUUUAUUAUAGUAAGUGAACACUGCAAAAUCAGCAUUAUAAACCGAAAGUUCUCUCUCUCUUUUUUUUUAAUCUCAUUGACAAAUAUGAAUAUUUGGCUCCACCAAUACAUGACUUGAAAAGCCAGCCAUAGCUAGCAUGCCCUAAGUCACCACCAUUCUCACAAACAACAAACCCACCAUUUCUUAGAUGUGGAGGUACCAAUCAGGACCCUGAAUUUAUGUUUUCAUAUGAGAGGAAAGGGCAUGUCUUUGGGUCAGGUAAAGAUGAGUGUUUUGCAAACUCACACAGCCCAUUGGCAACUCUAAGAUAGUUUUGCAAAUGGGUAGUUGUUAACAUUAUUAUUUGCCGUGUUGCUGAGUGCAGCAAUUAGAUUAGGUGAAGGCAAAGUGGGUGCAGAUAAAUUGUUUGCCCAAAGUACCAGCUCAAAAAUGGGAGAGAAACGUGUGAUCUUUGAGGCGUUUUCUGGGUCACAACACAAGAUGCUUGUUGCAUUAGAUCCACCCAUUUUUGUUCUUUUAAUAAAAAAGUUUCAUGGAUGAAUAUCUGUGAAUUGAUUUUAUUGCCCUGCCAACAAUGAAAACAUAGUUUUUGUUAUUAAAGGAAAUAAAAAAAAUUGCCUGUUCUAUCGAA
Mangifera indica (mango) is the source of this 5087-nucleotide RNA transcript. RefSeq lists it as uncharacterized. The transcript has 7 exons. Lineage: Eukaryota; Viridiplantae; Streptophyta; Magnoliopsida; Sapindales; Anacardiaceae. The record is from RefSeq and is a predicted model, not a curated record.